UAUUAGUAGGACUGAGACUCAAUUCCCACCAUUAUUAACAUCACAACUUUCUCAGGUGCAUCAACCAUCUCAUCUUGGUUAUUUUCCGACAAAUUACUUGGAAUAAUGCUACAAAGGAUAAUCUACAAGAGAAUGGUUGCUGGCAGAUAAUUUACAAG
Zingiber officinale is the source of this 158-nucleotide long non-coding RNA. RefSeq lists it as uncharacterized. The transcript has 3 exons. The record is from RefSeq and is a predicted model, not a curated record. Lineage: Eukaryota; Viridiplantae; Streptophyta; Magnoliopsida; Zingiberales; Zingiberaceae.